RNAcentral lists this ribosomal RNA (495 nucleotides) under uncultured bacterium. RNAcentral describes it as "partial 16S ribosomal RNA". It matches the Rfam family "Bacterial small subunit ribosomal RNA", at positions 28 to 507 of the family's 1533-position model. The record is from RNAcentral.
GACGAACGCUGGCGGCGUGCCUAAUACAUGCAAGUAGGACGCUGAAGGAGGAGCUUGCUUCUCUGGAUGAGUUGCGAACGGGUGAGUAACGCGUAGGUAACCUGCCUGGUAGCGGGGGAUAACUAUUGGAAACGAUAGCUAAUACCGCAUAAUAGCAGUUAUUGCAUGAUAACUGUUUGAAAGGUGCAAUUGCACCACUACCAGAUGGACCUGCGUUGUAUUAGCUAGUUGGUGGGGUAACGGCUCACCAAGGCGACGAUACAUAGCCGACCUGAGAGGGUGAUCGGCCACACUGGGACUGAGACACGGCCCAGACUCCUACGGGAGGCAGCAGUAGGGAAUCUUCGGCAAUGGACGGAAGUCUGACCGAGCAACGCCGCGUGAGUGAAGAAGGGUUUCGGAUCGUAAAGCUCUGUUGUAAGAGAAGAACGAGUGUGAGAGUGGAAAGUUCACACUGUGACGGUAUCUUACCAGAAAGGGACGGCUAACUACGUG